RNAcentral lists this ribosomal RNA (496 nucleotides) under uncultured bacterium. Its description in RNAcentral is "partial 16S ribosomal RNA". It matches the Rfam family "Bacterial small subunit ribosomal RNA", at positions 28 to 506 of the family's 1533-position model. The record is from RNAcentral.
GAUGAACGCUGGCGGCGUGCCUAAUACAUGCAAGUCGAGCGAACGGACGAGAAGCUUGCUUCUCUGAUGUUAGCGGCGGACGGGUGAGUAACACGUGGAUAACCUACCUAUAAGACUGGGAUAACUUCGGGAAACCGUAGCUAAUACCGGAUAAUAUUUUGAACCGCAUGGUUCAAAAGUGAAAGACGGUCUUGCCGUCACUUAUAGAUGGAUCCGCGCUGCAUUAGCUAGUUGGUAAGGUAACGGCUUACCAAGGCAACGAUGCAUAGCCGACCUGAGAGGGUGAUCGGCCACACUGGAACUGAGACACGGUCCAGACUCCUACGGGAGGCAGCAGUAGGGAAUCUUCCGCAAUGGGCGAAAGCCUGACGGAGCAACGCCGCGUGAGUGAUGAAGGUCUUCGGAUCGUAAAACUCUGUUAUUAGGGAAGAACAUAUGUGUAAGUAACUGUGCACAUCUUGACGGUACCUAAUCAGAAAGCCACGGCUAACUACGU